CGUAGUAGAGUAAAAGUAAAAGUUGUCCAAAAUAUUAAUAGUAAAGUAAAGUACAGAUAUCCCAAAAAACUACUUAAGAAGUACUUUAUUUUUUACUAAAGUACUUUACACCACUUGCCAUCGGGUUCUUGGUCACCUCCCUGACCAAGGCCCUUCUCCCCAGAUUGCUCAGUUUGGCAGAGGCGGUCAGCUCUAGGAAGAGUCUUGGUGGUUCCCAACUUCUUCCAUUUAAGAAUGAUGGAAGCCACUGUCAACUGUGUGACCUCGCAUAGACAGGCGUGUGCCUUUCCAAAUCAUGUCUAAUCAAUUAAACUUACCACAGGUGGACUACAAUCAAGUUCUAGAAACAUCUCAAGGAUGAUCAAUGGAAACAGGAUGCACCUGAGCUCAAUUGAGUCUCAUAGCAAAGUGUCUGAAUACUUAAGUGAAUAAUAUAUUUUUUAUUUUGAAAAAUCUGUUUUUGCUUUGUCAUUAUGAGGUAUUGUGUUUAGAUUGUUUAGGAUUAAAAAAAGGUCAUCCAGAAUAAGGCUGUAACGUAACAAAAUGUGGAAAAAGUCAAGGGGUCUGAAUACUUUCCGAAGGCACAGUAUCUCUUUCUAUUACUUGUGGGAAUACUUUGGAACCAAUUUCCUGGUAUUUUACAGUCUUCAAUGUCCAAGAAUAUAUUUUAGCAAUUAUAUGAAAUCACUGCCAGUUGGGAUACCCUGAAUUAGUGUCUAAGUGUGUAUAGACUUACAGUAGGUACCCUGAAGUAGUGUCUAAGUGUGUAUAGACUUACAGUAGGUACCCUGAAGUAGUGUCUAAGUGUGUAUAGAGGUAUGUAUAGACUUACAGUAGGUAUCCUGAAGUAUUGUCUAAGUGUGUAUAGACUUACAGUAGGUACCCUGAAGUAGUGUCUAAGUGUGUAUAGACUUACAGUAGGUACCCUGAAGUAGUGUCUAAGUGUGUAUAGAAGUAUGUAUAGACUUACAGUAGGUACCCUGAAGUAUUGUCUAAGUGUGUAUAGACUUACAGUAGGUACCCUGAAGUAGUGUCUAAGUGUGUAUAGAAGUAUGUAUAGACUUACAGUAGGUACCCUGAAGUAUUGUCUAAGUGUGUAUAGACUUACAGUAGGUACCCUGAAGUAGUGUCUAAGUGUGUAUAGACUUACAGUAGGUACCCUGAAGUAGUGUCUAAGUGUGUAUAGAAGUAUGUAUAGACUUACAGUAGGUACCCUGAAGUAUUGUCUAAGUGUGUAUAGACUUACAGUAGGUACCCUGAAGUAGUGUCUAAGUGUGUAUAGAAGUAUGUAUAGACUUACAGUAGGUACCCUGAAGUAUUGUCUAAGUGUGUAUAGACUUACAGUAGGUACCCUGAAGUAGUGUCUAAGUGUGUAUAGACUUACAGUAGGUACCCUGAAGUAGUGUCUAAGUGUGUAUAGAAGUAUGUAUAGACUUACAGUAGGUACCCUGAAGUAUUGUCUAAGUGUGUAUAGACUUACAGUAGGUACCCUGAAGUAGUGUCUAAGUGUGUAUAGAAGUAUGUAUAGACUUACAGUAGGUACCCUGAAGUAUUGUCUAAGUGUGUAUAGACUUACAGUAGGUACCCUGAAGUAGUGUCUAAGUGUGUAUAGAAGUAUGUAUAGACUUACAGUAGGUACCCUGAAGUAUUGUCUAAGUGUGUAUAGACUUACAGUAGGUACCCUGAAGUAGUGUCUAAGUGUGUAUAGACUUACAGUAGGUACCCUGAAGUAGUGUCUAAGUGUGUAUAGAAGUAUGUAUAGACUUACAGUAGGUACCCUGAAGUAUUGUCUAAGUGUGUAUAGACUUACAGUAGGUACCCUGAAGUAGUGUCUAAGUGUGUAUAGACUUACAGUAGGUACCCUGAAGUAGUGUCUAAGUGUGUAUAGAAGUAUGUAUAGACUUACAGUAGGUACCCUGAAGUAUUGUCUAAGUGUGUAUAGACUUACAGUAGGUACCCUGAAGUAGUGUCUAAGUGUGUAUAGACUUACAGUAGGUACCCUGAAGUAGUGUCUAAGUGUGUAUAGAAGUAUGUAUAGACUUACAGUAGGUACCCUGAAGUAUUGUCUAAGUGUGUAUAGACUUACAGUAGGUACCCUGAAGUAGUGUCUAAGUGUGUAUAGACUUACAGUAGGUACCCUGAAGUAGUGUCUAAGUGUGUAUAGAAGUAUGUAUAGACUUACAGUAGGUAUCCUGAAGUAGUGUCUAAGUGUGUAUAGAAGUAUGUAUAG
Molecule: long non-coding RNA, 2230 nt
Organism: Oncorhynchus keta (chum salmon)
Lineage: Eukaryota; Metazoa; Chordata; Actinopteri; Salmoniformes; Salmonidae
Exons: 5
Source: RefSeq, a predicted model, not a curated record